Molecule: ribosomal RNA, 467 nt
Filed under: uncultured bacterium
Lineage: Bacteria
Description: partial 16S ribosomal RNA
Rfam family: Bacterial small subunit ribosomal RNA
Source: RNAcentral
AGUGAACGCUGGCGGUAGGCCUAACACAUGCAAGUCGAACGGCAGCACAGUAAGAACUUGCUCUUACGGGAGGAGCGUGGCGGACGGGUGCGGAAUACAUGGGAAUCUACUUUUUAGUGGGGGAUAACGUCGGGAAACUUACGCUGAUACCGCAUAAGACCUACUGGUGAAAGCCGGGGAUCUUCGGGCCUUGCGCGAUAGAAUGAGCCGAUGUUGGUUAAGCAGUUUGGCGGGGUAAAGGAUCACCAAGGCGACGAUCCGUAGCUGGUCUGAGAGGAUGAUCAGCCACAUUGGGACUGAGCCACGGCCCAGACUCCUACAGGAGGCAGCAGUGGGGAAUCUUGCGCAAUGGGCGAAAGCAUGACGCAGCCAUGCCGCGUGAAUGAUGAAGGUCUUAGGAUUGUAAAAUUCUUUCACCGGGGACGGUAAUGACGGUACCCGGAGAAGAAGCACCGGCUAACUUCGUG